AUGGAAUCGGCGGGGAACGACCGGAGGGACGCGGCGCUGGGGAGCCUGGCGGUGCUCCCCGACGAGCUGCUCUGCGCCAUCGUCGACCUCCUCCAGCCCACCGACAUCGGCCGCCUCGCAUGCGUCAGCAGUGUCAUGUACAUACUUUGCAACGAGGAACCUCUCUGGAUGAGUAAAUAUCUUUCUGUUGGUGGUCAUCUUGAGUACAAAGGUUCUUGGAAGAAAACAACAUUGUCUAGGCUUAGUCUUUGCUCCGGAAAUAGUGAGCUUGAGCAGAAGGCUCGUCAUUUUGAUGGAUUCAAUUCCUUGUUCUUAUACAGGAGAUGGUAUAGAUGUUUUACUACUUUGAGUAGUUAUUCCUUUGACAAUGGACAUGUGGAAAGAAAGGAUGACCUUUCUUUGGAUCAUUUCCAUUCUCAGUAUGAUGGAAAAGGCCCAGUUUUGCUUGGUAAGCUGGCUGAAACCUGGCCAGCAAGGACUAAAUGGACAAUUCAGCAGCUGGUGCAUGAUUAUGGUGAAGUUACAUUUAGGAUAUCACAGAGAAGCCCUAAGAAGAUAAUAAUGAAACUGAAAGACUAUGUUUCUUACAUGGAACUCCAGCAUGACGAAGAUCCUCUUUAUAUAUUUGAUGAUAAGUUUGGAGAAACAACACCAGCACUAUUGGAAGAUUACAGAGUCCCUCAUUUAUUUCAAGAAGAUCUUUUUGGUGUCUUGGAUUAUGAACAAAGACCUGCUUUCAGAUGGCUUAUUAUUGGACCAGAAAGAUCAGGUGCCUCUUGGCAUGUUGAUCCAGGAUUAACCAGUGCGUGGAAUACUCUUCUUUGUGGCCGAAAAAGAUGGGCACUGUACCCUCCAGGAAGAGUGCCUGGUGGUGUCACGGUACAUGUAAGUGAUGAGGAUGGUGAUGUUGACAUUGAAACUCCAACGUCUUUGCAGUGGUGGCUUGAUAUCUAUCCUCAUCUUGCUGAACACGAGAAACCACUGGAAUGCACACAAUUACCAGGAGAGACUAUAUUUGUUCCUAGUGGAUGGUGGCAUUGUGUUCUAAACCUUGAGACUACUGUUGCAGUUACACAAAACUUUGUCAAUCAAUCAAAUUUUGAGCAUGUAUGUCUAGACAUGGCACCUGGUCACUGUCACAAAGGAGUUUGUCGUGCUGGCUUACUUGCUGUUCCGGGAAAAUCUGUUAGAGAUAUUGAAAAUCAUCCACCUGGAACAAUGAGUGCAUGGAACCACAAUGACAUGACUCGUGCAGAAAAAAGACUGAAAGGUUCAGGGUCCGUAAGAGCUUCAAACAGUGCAAAUCAGUGUGCUUCGUUUGAGUUCUCAGACGUCCAUGAAAGUUUGGAGAACCAAGUUUUCUCGUAUGAUAUAGGUUUCUUAUCCCAAUUUCUUGAGAAAGAAAAAGAUCACUAUACUUCUGUCUGGAGUCCUACUAAUCCAAUUGGCCAGAGAGAAGCAAGAGAAUGGCUGCGAAGGCUAUGGGUUCUUAAGCCUGAACUGAGAGGACUAAUAUGGAAGGGUGCAUGCCUAGCAAUAAGUGUGGACAAAUGGUAUGCAUGCUUAGAGGAAGUAAGUGCAUGUCAUAGUUUACCACCACCGUCAGAGGAUGAGAAGCUUCCUGUUGGCACAGGUAGCAACCCAGUCUUCAUUGUUUCCGACAAUGUGAUUAAAAUCUAUGCUGAAGGAGGCCUGGGUUAUUCUGCUCAUGGUUUAGGCACAGAGCUUGAGUUCUAUGAUCUUCUGCGAAAAGUUGGCUCGCCUUUGAUCAACCACAUUCCUGAGAUCAUUGCAAGUGGAUUUCUUGUGUACGAAGAUGGCGUCUACAGAACAGUCCCAUGGGAUGGAAAAGGAAUGCCAGAUGUUUUGGCUAAAUACUAUCCUCUGGAGCUUUCUUAUGCAAACAGCUGUUUUCCUCUUGGAUUAUGGAGCAAACAACAGUUUGGAAUGGAUAGUUCCACUGAAUGUUCAAACAAACCUAUUUGGCCUUACAUGGUUACCAGAAAAUGCAAAGGGGAUAUCUUUGCUCGUGUCCGUGAUACAUUGUCCAAGGCUGACCUUUUGAAUCUGGCAUCAUCCUUGGGAGUUCAAAUGCGAAAUAUCCAUUUAUUACCCCUUCCACAUGGGGAACCAUUACCCAAACCUGAAGACAAUAAUGUGAGAGACAGUGAUCCACCUGAAUGGAAACAAGUAAUUUCUACUCUAAACGGAAGAAAGAAUAAUAUAAAGAAGCACCUAGCUAACUGGGGGGGUACUGUCCCAACAGUUUUAAUUGAGAAGGCUGAAGAAUAUCUCCCUGCUGAUAUGAGCUCUCUAAUCAAGUUUGUUAAGGAUGACGAUGGUGACUCAGUGUACACAUUCCCUUGUUGGAUACAUUCAGAUAUUAUGGACGAUAACAUUCUUACUCAGAGGUCCCUCACUGAUGCCAAAAGCACUGGUGACAGAGAUCUGGAGAAACUGGAUGCAGUUAAUAUAAUUGACUUCAGUGAUCUGUCCAUCGGGGAUCCUCUAUGCGACUUGAUUCCACUGCACCUGGAUGUUUUUCGUGGCGAUAUUGAUCUUCUCAGGGAGUACCUAAGAAGCUACCAGCUUCCUUUCCUGAGAGGGAAAUCAAACAAUGAUAUCUACAAGUCAGUGGGAAAUUCGAAGUUCAGCACUGCAUCAUAUCGCGCGAUGUGCUACUGCAUGCUGCACGAGGACAACGUGCUGGCGGCUAUAUUUGGGCUGUGGAAGGACCUGCGAGCUGCAACGUCGUGGGAGGAGGUCGAGCACUUGGUUUGGGAUGGCCUCAACCGAUACCAGCAAUCGUCGCCUACACUCUCUAGCUAG
This 2829-nucleotide ribosomal RNA is filed under the name Triticum aestivum (bread wheat). RNAcentral describes it as "partial small subunit ribosomal RNA". Lineage: Eukaryota; Viridiplantae; Streptophyta; Magnoliopsida; Poales; Poaceae. The record is from RNAcentral.